RNAcentral lists this ribosomal RNA (698 nucleotides) under uncultured Staphylococcus sp. Its description in RNAcentral is "bacterial SSU rRNA". It matches the Rfam family "Bacterial small subunit ribosomal RNA", at positions 61 to 741 of the family's 1533-position model. The record is from RNAcentral. Lineage: Bacteria; Bacillati; Bacillota; Bacilli; Caryophanales; Staphylococcaceae.
GUCGAGCGAACAGACGAGGAGCUUGCUCCUCUGACGUUAGCGGCGGACGGGUGAGUAACACGUGGAUAACCUACCUAUAAGACUGGGAUAACUUCGGGAAACCGGAGCUAAUACCGGAUAAUAUAUUGAACCGCAUGGUUCAAUAGUGAAAGACGGUUUUGCUGUCACUUAUAGAUGGAUCCGCGCCGCAUUAGCUAGUUGGUAAGGUAACGGCUUACCAAGGCGACGAUGCGUAGCCGACCUGAGAGGGUGAUCGGCCACACUGGAACUGAGACACGGUCCAGACUCCUACGGGAGGCAGCAGUAGGGAAUCUUCCGCAAUGGGCGAAAGCCUGACGGAGCAACGCCGCGUGAGUGAUGAAGGUCUUCGGAUCGUAAAACUCUGUUAUUAGGGAAGAACAAAUGUGUAAGUAACUAUGCACGUCUUGACGGUACCUAAUCAGAAAGCCACGGCUAACUACGUGCCAGCAGCCGCGGUAAUACGUAGGUGGCAAGCGUUAUCCGGAAUUAUUGGGCGUAAAGCGCGCGUAGGCGGUUUUUUAAGUCUGAUGUGAAAGCCCACGGCUCAACCGUGGAGGGUCAUUGGAAACUGGAAAACUUGAGUGCAGAAGAGGAAAGUGGAAUUCCAUGUGUAGCGGUGAAAUGCGCAGAGAUAUGGAGGAACACCAGUGGCGAAGGCGACUUUCUGGUCUGUAACU